Molecule: ribosomal RNA, 502 nt
Filed under: uncultured bacterium
Lineage: Bacteria
Description: bacterial SSU rRNA
Rfam family: Bacterial small subunit ribosomal RNA
Source: RNAcentral
AAUCAACGCUGGCGGCGUGCCUCAGACAUGCAAGUCGAACGCGAAAGUCUCCUUCGGGGGACAAGUAGAGUGGCGCACGGGUGAGUAACACGUAGGUAAUCUACCUUUGGAUGGGGAAUAACAACCGGAAACGGUUGCUAAUACCGCAUAAUGCAGCGGCACCUAAUGGUGACAGUUGUUAAAGCGGGGGAUCGAAAGACCUCGCGUCUGAAGAGGAGCCUGCGGCGGAUUAGCUAGUGGUAAGGUAAUGGCUUACCAAGGCUACGAUCCGUAACCGGCCUGAGAGGGCGGUCGGUCACACUGACACUGACAUACGGGUCAGACUCCUACGGGAGGCAGCAGUCGGGAAUUUUGGGCAAUGGGCGAAAGCCUGACCCAGCAACGCCGCGUGAAGGAUGAAAUCCCUCGGGAUGUAAACUUCGCAAGAACGGGAAGAAUAAGCGAGAGUAAAUAUCUUUCGCGAUGACGGUACCGUUUGUAAGCUCCGGCUAACUCCGUGCCA